UGAGCUGUGGAUAGCGGAGAAAUUCCAAUCGAACUCGGAGAUAGCUGGUUCUCCUCGAAAUAGCUUUAGGGCUAGCGUCGGAUAUGAGUAAUGGAGGUAGAGCACUGAAUGGGCUAGGGGGCAUAUCGCUUACCGAACCUUAUCAAACUCCGAAUGCCAUAUACUAUUAGUCCGGCAGUCAGACUACGAAUGAUAAGAUCCGUGGUCAAAAGGGAAAAAGCCCAGAUCGUCAGCUAAGGUCCCAAAGUGUAAGUUAAGUGGUAAAGGAUGUGGGAUUUCUAAGACAACUAGGAUGUUGGCUUAGAAGCAGCCACUCAUUUAAAGAGUGCGUAAUAGCUCACUAGUCGAGAGAUCCUGCGCCGAAAAUGUCCGGGGCUCAAACUUACCACCGAAGCUACGGGCUCAAGUUUACUUGAGCGGUAGAGGAGCGUCGUAAUCGGGCUGAAGUCGUACCGUAAGGAGCGGUGGACUGAUUACGAGUGAGAAUGUUGGCAUUAGUAGCGAGAUGUAAGUGAGAAUCUUACAGGCCGAAAAUCUAAGGUUUCCUGGGGAAGGCUCGUCCGCCCAGGGUUAGUCGGGACCUAAGCCGAGGCCGAAAGGCGUAGGUGAUGGACAAUUGGUUGAUAUUCCAAUACCACUAUUAUCGUUAUUAUCGAUGGUGUGACGGAGAAGGAUAGGAUGUGCUAGCGAUUGGAAAUGCUAGUCUAAGCAUUUAGGGAGUUAAGAUAGGCAAAUCCGUCUUAACAAUCCUGAGGUGUGAUGGGGAAGGCCAUUAAGGCUGAAGUAUCUGAUUCCCUGCUUCCAAGAAAAGCAUCUAGAGAGAGAAGUAGUGCCCGUACCGCAAACCGACACAGGUAGAUGAGGAGAGAAUCCUAAGGCCAUCGGAAGAAUUGCAGUUAAGGAACUAGGCAAAUUGACCCCGUAAGUUAGCGAGAAGGGGUGCCUGCGAGAGCAGGCCGCAGAGAAUAGGCCCAAGCAACUGUUUAGCAAAAACACAGGUCUCUGCUAAAGCGUAAGCUGAUGUAUAGGGGCUGACGCCUGCCCGGUGCUGGAAGGUUAAGGGGAACACUUAGCGCAAGCGAAGGUGUGAACUUAAGCCCCAGUAAACGGCGGCCGUAACUAUAACGGUCCUAAGGUAGCGAAAUUCCUUGUCAGGUAAGUUCUGACCCGCACGAAUGGCGUAAUGACUUGGGCACUGUCUCAACUGCAAAUCCGGCGAAGUUGUAGUGCGAGUGAAGAUGCUCGCUACCCGCGAUUGGACGGAAAGACCCCGUAGAGCUUUACUGUAGCUUAGCAUUGAGUUUCGAUAUUGUCUGUACAGGAUAGGUGGGAGACUGAGAAGCUAGGGCGUCAGCCUUAGUGGAGUCAACCUUGGGAUACCACCCUGAUAGUAUUGGGAUUCUAACUGGACGCCAUGAAUCUGGUGACAGGACAUUGUUAGGUGGGCAGUUUGACUGGGGCGGUCGCCUCCUAAAAAGUAACGGAGGCGCCCAAAGGUUCCCUCAGAACGGUCGGAAAUCGUUCGUAGAGUGCAAAGGCAGAAGGGAGCCUGACUGCGACACCCACAAGUGGAGCAGGGACGAAAGUCGGGCUUAGUGAUCCGGUGGUACCUCGUGGGAGGGCCAUCGCUCAACGGAUAAAAGCUACCUCGGGGAUAACAGGCUGAUCUCCCCCAAGAGUCCACAUCGACGGGGAGGUUUGGCACCUCGAUGUCGGCUCGUCGCAUCCUGGGGCUGUAGUAGGUCCCAAGGGUUGGGCUGUUCGCCCAUUAAAGCGGCACGCGAGCUGGGUUCAGAACGUCGUGAGACAGUUCGGUCCCUAUCCGUCGCGGGCGUAGGAAAUUUGAGAGGAGCUGUCCUUAGUACGAGAGGACCGGGAUGGACUGACCUCUGGUGCACCAGUUGUUCCGCCAGGAGCAUGGCUGGGUAGCUAAGUCGGGAAGGGAUAAACGCUGAAGGCAUCUAAGCGUGAAGCCCCCCUCAAGAUGAGAUUUCCCAUAGCAUAAGCUAGUAAGACCCCUUGA
Molecule: ribosomal RNA, 2023 nt
Filed under: human metagenome
Description: bacterial LSU rRNA
Rfam family: Bacterial large subunit ribosomal RNA
Source: RNAcentral